This 297-nucleotide unclassified non-coding RNA is filed under the name Bombus terrestris (buff-tailed bumblebee). RNAcentral describes it as "misc RNA ENSBTSG00005032018.1". The record is from RNAcentral. Lineage: Eukaryota; Metazoa; Arthropoda; Insecta; Hymenoptera; Apidae.
CUAAAGUCAGAUGGGCUCAAUUACUUUAAUUACUCAAGAACUCAGCACAAAGCGUAACAACAUGUUUCCAUUUUGCAUUCUGUCAAAACGAGCGACAACUGAAUGUACAACUCCAUCUCCGCUGUACGCAGCUUCGAUCUCGUUUCAUUCCGGUCGUUUCUCCCUUGCAGUGUUGUGUCGAUGACGAUGUAUGUAUAUCGUCUGUCCAAGGUCGCCGUUUGCUUUUUGGACGUUCACGCUUUUCGAUGGGAAAAGUUUACCUCGCUGGUGGACGCAAAUUGACUAAUUUUACGUAAC